AACGCAUAUUGCGCCCUUUGGCAUUCCGAGGGGCAUGCCUGUUCGAGCGUCAUGAUCAAAACUCUCAAGCCUUGGCUUUUGGGGUAUUGGGUUUUCGCCUCUAUCUCUGUAUAGGUAGUGGUGUACCUGAAAAUUAGUGGUUGAUACCUCAUAGACUCUAAGUGAAGCAGACUGACUCGCUUUUGGAGAACCUCUGUGGUCCAACCAACAAAAUGAACUCAAGUUUGACCUCGGAUCAGGUAGGGAUACCCGCUGAACUUAA
RNAcentral lists this unclassified non-coding RNA (262 nucleotides) under uncultured fungus. Its description in RNAcentral is "partial contains 5.8S ribosomal RNA, internal transcribed spacer 2, and large subunit ribosomal RNA". The record is from RNAcentral. Lineage: Eukaryota; Fungi.